Molecule: ribosomal RNA, 400 nt
Filed under: phytoplankton environmental sample
Lineage: Eukaryota
Description: partial small subunit ribosomal RNA
Rfam family: Eukaryotic small subunit ribosomal RNA
Source: RNAcentral
AGCUCCACGAGUCUAUAUUAGAGUUGUUGUAGUUAAAAAGCUCGUAGUCGAAAGGGGGGGAGAGAGUGAGGGGAUGAUUGGUUUUAUUUAUUAAUUUAAAUGAAUUCAAUGCCCCGUCUCUCUGCUCUUUAACGGGCAAUCUAAUUUAGUUUAUUUUGCCCUGUUUACUUUGAUAAAAAUAGAGUGCUCAAAACAAACUGUAUUUAGAUACAAUUUAAUAGUUUUUGAAUAGUCCAGCAUGGGAUAAUGAAACAAGACCUCGAAUUGAUUUUGUUGGUUGAACAAAUGAAGGGUAAUGAUUAAUAGGAUCGGUUGGGGAUGUUUGUAUUGGCGGGCAAGAGGUGAAAUUCUAUGAUUCCGUCACGACAAACUUUUGCGAAAGCAUUCAUCAAGGACGUUU